GUUUUUUUUCUUUUUUGGUUUGGUGGGUUUUUUGUGGAUUGCACCUGUCUUAACUUCUGAAGUUGCUAUCUACGUGUUCUUUUCCUUCUUAUUCUCCUUUUCCAUAUCAUCUUAUCCCACCGACUCCCAUUGACUUCCUUGGCACUACGUGUUACUUCUAUCCAUUCUUCUCCUUCUAUGUGUUUCUCUCUGUCGUUCUGCCUUUCUUUUGUCCAAUAAAAUACUUCCAUAUAUUUUCCACCGACUUCAUCUCCAUCUCUAAAAUGUACAGUUUGAAGCUUCAUCCCUAAAGGACCAAAAAACGAACGGUUGCUCUUCUCCCGUUUGAAGAGCAAUCAACAAACUGCAAUCAGCCAAAAUCGCACUCCACUUCUUCUUUGCGUCAACCACCAACUUCUCUCUCUUCUUUUCCUUUUGUUCCCGUGUCAAUUCUUGCGUUCCUUCUCCACCGCCACUUUCUCAAUUCAUCUUCCCCAGAUCCACACCACUUCACUUCGCUAUCGUCUCAAAAUUGCUCCAUUCUCUCAUCUCCUUCAACCUCUCAGUCGCAUAUUCUUUCCGACCCACCCAUUAAAACCCACCCCCGUAAGGUCCCGUUUAUGUUGAUGCUUGACACUGCCUCUCCAAAACCAUCUACGCUCUUCCAAACGAUUUCUCACUCGGUUAUUGUGAGAAUGACCCGAUUUCUAAAUGGCAGCAGCGAACCAGAAGGGAAAAGGAGGUGGUGAGGUUGGGAUAAAACCGAACAGCACAGGGAACCAACAUAACUGUCAGUGUGCGAUUGAGGUUCCUGAUUUUCAUUGCUAUGGGAUUUAUUGAAGACGAACCUGGUAGAUCGGUGAGAAGUAUUAUGUGAGUCAAGAAAUCGACCGGACUACAAAAAAAAGCAGCAUAAACACCAAUAUAGAUAAAUGAGAUUGACCACUGUGUGUAUUUCUACCAUUGUAUCUCUGUUUCAUCUUCUUUUUUUGGUUUUAGAUAUAUGUGCCAAUAAAUCCUUAUGUAGCAGAACCGUUGCCUCCAGCUAUUGUUGUUACAGAGACUGAUUAUUAUUUGAGAAGAUUAUGGAGUGCACCCUCAGAGGUGUAUAAUAUAUUUAUUAAUUAUUAUAUCUUUUACUUUGGCUAUUAAGUUUUGUUUAUUAUUAGAAGGUGUUAAAAAUUUCAGUAUUUAAAGAAGAAGCCCCAAUGACGGAUUAACUUGGGAAUUAACUAAAAGAAGAGGCGAUAAACAGGUUCACAAGUACAUUGCCUUUUUUAUAUAUUUUAUAUCUUUGAUUGCGAAUAUGGUCUAAUAGCAAAAGAUCUAUGUUUGGGUAAUGAGCAACCCAUUUUACAAAGUAAACAUAUUAUUUGGUGUGAUUUGUUUUAUGCAGGAAUAUAUGUACAUGGUGUGUAGCAGACUACUUCAAAGACAGAAAGGUUUAUCCAUACUCUAUACACUGAUUAUUAUGUAAUUUUUGAAAAAAGCUUUCUAAAGCCCUUAUGAUUUACUUGAAAGUGUUUAUUAUGUUUAGAGAAUAAGAAUUGUAUUAUUAUUGAAUGUGGAUUUGUUACUUUUUAUGGAACAAAGAAGGAGAAUGCACCAAGAAUUAUAACAGAUCUGAAGGGAAAAUACUUAGAGUUAUCGGUUUCAAGGGUUAAAUGGUCAUAGUUAUUAUGCACCCAUUUUUAGCAAAAAUAUAAAUAUUUCAUGAUUGGUUUCCAUUUCCUACAUUGAUUGUUAAAACGUGGAUGCUAAGAUGUGAGAAGAUUUAACUGUCUUUUUCCUGAAGAGCACAAACCAUUUUUGUAACAGUUUGGCAAAAGAGGGACUACACGAACCAUUUAUGUUGAUGCAAAUUGUACCAAAAUAACAUUAUACUUUAAAUUAUAAGGUCUGAAUAAUUGUUAUGUACUUUAAAUAAAGUUAUUUAAUUCAUCAUUAAUAUGCAUACUAAUAUAAACAUAUUGUCAUUUCCUCAUAUUACUACAAUGUAAAAUUAUAAUAUUUCCUGCUAACAAAAUUUUCUUACUCAAACGAUUAU
Lactuca sativa (garden lettuce) is the source of this 2026-nucleotide non-coding RNA. The record is from RefSeq and is a predicted model, not a curated record. Lineage: Eukaryota; Viridiplantae; Streptophyta; Magnoliopsida; Asterales; Asteraceae.